This 71-nucleotide transfer RNA is filed under the name Candidatus Harrisonbacteria bacterium CG10_big_fil_rev_8_21_14_0_10_45_28. RNAcentral describes it as "tRNA-Ile". It matches the Rfam family "tRNA". From Rfam's summary of the family: Transfer RNA (tRNA) molecules are approximately 80 nucleotides in length. Their secondary structure includes four short double-helical elements and three loops (D, anti-codon, and T loops). Further hydrogen bonds mediate the characteristic L-shaped molecular structure. tRNAs have two regions of fundamental functional importance: the anti-codon, which is responsible for specific mRNA codon recognition, and the 3' end, to which the tRNAs corresponding amino acid is attached (by aminoacyl-tRNA synthetases). tRNAs cope with the degeneracy of the genetic code in two manners: having more than one tRNA (with a specific anti-codon) for a particular amino acid; and 'wobble' base-pairing, i.e. permitting non-standard base-pairing at the 3rd anti-codon position. The record is from RNAcentral. Lineage: Bacteria; Candidatus Harrisoniibacteriota.
GCGCCUAUAGUUUAAUGGUAAAACAGUGAUCUUAUACAUCACCAUUCUAGGUCCGAUUCCUAGUGGGCGCA